CAGAACUUGCACGGUUUGGUUAUGAAAUGAUGUUAUGUAAAGCUAACGACCAGGAUUUAAUCAAGGGUCUUGCACCACAAUUACAGCAGCUGAGGUUUCUGGAGCAGCUUCUAAUGGUCAUUCAAGCAGACUCCUCUAUAAACUAUAGGCAGAACUCAUCCUCUGGUGAUGACAGUGUGAGGAAUGAUGAUCUUCUUCAGGAACUAAUGUUUCAGGAUCACUUAUCAGACCUGGAUAUGCUCCUGAAUCCGGAUUGCAACCCUUGGCCUGCGCAUAUCCGUGAACAUCUAACAGUCAACUCACAACUAAACGAAAGGAAAACAACACAGUAAACCUAGUGAUUUCAUAAACAGGAGUGAUCAACAUUCCCGACUAGGAAGUCAUGGAGAAGAAAGCCUGACAGAGGCCAUGGCACUGCUGCAGUUUACACAGAGCACAUUAGAUGAGCUCCACAAAGAGUGUGAGUUCCUACAGUCACAUUCGUCAGGUUCGGUAGCUGUUCUGUCCCCCUGUGAGCUGAAAGUGGCCAUCUCAGACAUGUCUCCGCUCGUGACGGCUUUCAGACACACCUACAACACAGCCUUUAAGGCAUACUUUCAAAGAGCCCCUCCGGCCCUCAGUUCUGCCGCUAUUGUGUUUGCUGUUAAUUGACUUUUUUGUAUUUAGUAGAACAGUAAAGAUUAUUAGUAUUAUUAUUAUUAUUAUUUUUU
This is a long non-coding RNA of Cyprinus carpio carpio, 710 nucleotides long. NCBI's taxonomy places the organism in Eukaryota, Metazoa, Chordata, Actinopteri, Cypriniformes, Cyprinidae. The record is from Ensembl.